CGCGCAGGCGGCUUGGUAAGUCGGAUGUGAAAUCCCGAGGCUCAACCUCGGGUCUGCAUCCGAUACUGCCCGGCUAGAGGUAGGUAGGGGAGAUCGGAAUUCCUGGUGUAGCGGUGAAAUGCGCAGAUAUCAGGAGGAACACCGGUGGCGAAGGCGGAUCUCUGGGCCUUACCUGACGCUCAGGCGCGAAAGCUAGGGGAGCGAACU
RNAcentral lists this ribosomal RNA (207 nucleotides) under uncultured bacterium. RNAcentral describes it as "partial 16S ribosomal RNA". It matches the Rfam family "Bacterial small subunit ribosomal RNA", at positions 568 to 774 of the family's 1533-position model. The record is from RNAcentral.